Molecule: ribosomal RNA, 233 nt
Filed under: uncultured bacterium
Lineage: Bacteria
Description: partial 16S ribosomal RNA
Rfam family: Bacterial small subunit ribosomal RNA
Source: RNAcentral
CACGUAGGGCGCGAGCGUUAUCCGGAAUUAUUGGGCGUAAAGAGCUCGUAGGCGGUUUGUCGCGUCUGCCGUGAAAGUCCGGGGCUCAACUCCGGAUCUGCGGUGGGUACGGGCAGACUAGAGUGAUGUAGGGGAGACUGGAAUUCCUGGUGUAGCGGUGAAAUGCGCAGAUAUCAGGAGGAACACCGGUGGCGAAGGCGGGUCUCUGGGCCGAUACUGACGCUGGAGGAGCG